UAUGUAGUGCUCAUUUUGUUAU
Molecule: non-coding RNA, 22 nt
Filed under: Arabidopsis thaliana (thale cress)
Lineage: Eukaryota; Viridiplantae; Streptophyta; Magnoliopsida; Brassicales; Brassicaceae
Source: RNAcentral